This 283-nucleotide ribosomal RNA is filed under the name Phascolarctobacterium faecium. RNAcentral's name for it is "partial 16S ribosomal RNA". It matches the Rfam family "Bacterial small subunit ribosomal RNA", at positions 47 to 776 of the family's 1533-position model. The record is from RNAcentral. Lineage: Bacteria; Bacillati; Bacillota; Negativicutes; Acidaminococcales; Acidaminococcaceae.
UCUUUUCCUUUUUUUCCCUCCUCCUCUUUCCUCCUUCUUUUUCGCGCGUUGUCCGGCCUUCUUGGGCGUCCCGCGCCUGUAGGCGGCUUAAUAAGUCGAGCGUGAAAAUGCGGGGCUCAACCCCGUAUGGCGCUGGAAACUGUUAGGCUUGAGUGCAGGAGAGGAAAGGGGAAUUCCCAGUGUAGCGGUGAAAUGCGUAGAUAUUGGGAGGAACACCAGGGGCGAAGGCGCCGGGCGGGACGGGGGAGGAAGAGGAGAGGAGAAAGAAAGGGGAGAGAACGGG